CAUCGGUCACCGCUCAAUCGUCCAUCUGGACGAACCGGGGAACCACAGAUUUCGGAGCGAUCCGAAUUGGGGUGAAUCUCGCGUGCCUUCUACCCGAUGGUGCGUGCGUAGGGCCAUUCUCUCGGCCCGAACCCGACAGCUAACUCGGUCGGCGGUAGGGAGAACUAAA
RNAcentral lists this small RNA (169 nucleotides) under Gordonia soli. RNAcentral's name for it is "c-di-AMP sequence". It matches the Rfam family "c-di-AMP riboswitch aptamer (ydaO/yuaA leader)". Rfam says of the family: This family represents a conserved RNA structure found upstream of the ydaO and yuaA genes in Bacillus subtilis and related genes in other bacteria. The ydaO/yuaA element is thought to act as a genetic "off" switch for the ydaO and yuaA genes in its native state. Lineage: Bacteria; Bacillati; Actinomycetota; Actinomycetes; Mycobacteriales; Gordoniaceae. The record is from RNAcentral. RNAcentral also lists the same sequence under 1 other name.